Molecule: ribosomal RNA, 497 nt
Filed under: uncultured bacterium
Lineage: Bacteria
Description: partial 16S ribosomal RNA
Rfam family: Bacterial small subunit ribosomal RNA
Source: RNAcentral
GAUGAACGCUGGCGGCGUGCCUAAUACAUGCAAGUCGAGCGAACGGACGAGAAGCUUGCUUCUCUGAUGUUAGCGGCGGACGGGUGAGUAACACGUGGAUAACCUACCUAUAAGACUGGGAUAACUUCGGGAAACCGGAGCUAAUACCGGAUAAUAUUUUGAACCGCAUGGUUCAAAAGUGAAAGACGGUCUUGCUGUCACUUAUAGAUGGAUCCGCGCUGCAUUAGCUAGUUGGUAAGGUAACGGCUUGCCAAGGCAACGAUGCAUAGCCGACCUGAGAGGGGGUUCGCCCACCCUGAAACGGACACCGGGCCCAGACUCCUGCGGGAGGAACAAGGAGGAACUCUUCCGGAAGGGGCGAAGGCCGGACGGAGCACCGCGGCGUGAGUGAUGAGGGUCUCCGAUUCAAAAACCUUUUUUAUGGGGAAAAAACAUAUGGGUAAGUAACUGUCCCCUUCUGGCCGGUACCUAAUAAAAAGCCCCGGGCUACCUCCGUC